UAGUGUGAAUUGCAGAAUUCCGCGAAUCAUCGAGUCUUUGAACGCAAGUUGCGCCCGAGGCUUGCCCUCGGGCAUUUCUGCCAGAGCGUCAC
This 92-nucleotide ribosomal RNA is filed under the name Schistidium cf. pulchrum clade 5 LLF-2016. Its description in RNAcentral is "partial 5.8S ribosomal RNA". It matches the Rfam family "5.8S ribosomal RNA", at positions 63 to 154 of the family's 154-position model. Rfam says of the family: 5.8S ribosomal RNA (5.8S rRNA) is a component of the large subunit of the eukaryotic ribosome. It is transcribed by RNA polymerase I as part of the 45S precursor that also contains 18S and 28S rRNA. Functionally, it is thought that 5.8S rRNA may be involved in ribosome translocation. The record is from RNAcentral. Lineage: Eukaryota; Viridiplantae; Streptophyta; Bryopsida; Grimmiales; Grimmiaceae.